CUCUGGAAAGCAGCCGGCGGCAUCGCGUCGCCGGCUCACCGACGGGGGUAAGCUCGCGGGAUCUGCCGCGGCGAAAUCUCUCAGGUCCUGCGACAGAG
This 98-nucleotide non-coding RNA is filed under the name Lutibaculum baratangense AMV1. RNAcentral's name for it is "Phyllobacteriaceae bacterium AMV1 Glycine riboswitch aptamer". It matches the Rfam family "Glycine riboswitch aptamer", at positions 9 to 86 of the family's 94-position model. From Rfam's summary of the family: This family represents the bacterial glycine riboswitch. Glycine riboswitches usually consist of two metabolite-binding aptamers domains with similar structures in tandem. The aptamers cooperatively bind glycine to regulate the expression of downstream genes. The record is from Rfam by way of RNAcentral. RNAcentral also lists the same sequence under 1 other name. Lineage: Bacteria; Pseudomonadati; Pseudomonadota; Alphaproteobacteria; Hyphomicrobiales; Tepidamorphaceae.